AAGUCGAGCGAACGGACGAGAAGCUUGCUUCUCUGAUGUUAGCGGCGGACGGGUGAGUAACACGUGGAUAACCUACCUAUAAGACUGGGAUAACUUCGGGAAACCGGAGCUAAUACCGGAUAAUAUUUUGAACCGCAUGGUUCAAAAGUGAAAGACGGUCUUGCUGUCACUUAUAGAUGGAUCCGCGCUGCAUUAGCUAGUUGGUAAGGUAACGGCUUACCAAGGCAACGAUGCAUAGCCGACCUGAGAGGGUGAUCGGCCACACUGGAACUGAGACACGGUCCAGACUCCUACGGGAGGCAGCAGUAGGGAAUCUUCCGCAAUGGGCGAAAGCCUGACGGAGCAACGCCGCGUGAGUGAUGAAGGUCUUCGGAUCGUAAAACUCUGUUAUUAGGGAAGAACAUAUGUGUAAGUAACUGUGCACAUCUUGACGGUAC
This 437-nucleotide ribosomal RNA is filed under the name Staphylococcus aureus. RNAcentral describes it as "bacterial SSU rRNA". It matches the Rfam family "Bacterial small subunit ribosomal RNA", at positions 59 to 478 of the family's 1533-position model. The record is from RNAcentral. Lineage: Bacteria; Bacillati; Bacillota; Bacilli; Caryophanales; Staphylococcaceae.